UCCCACUCUCCAUUUUCAGUUAGGCCUUCCCCUUCUUUAGCCAAGGACAGAGGUUGUCCAUCUCAUUUCCGUGCAAACUUUGGUUGUUUUCAUUGUCUAUCAGAACUCUAAGACCUGUCUUCUGAGGAAAAACAGUGGCUCACGCCUUUCUCUUCUUAUGAUCAUUUCCUCUUCCAAAUAAAAUUCCAUCGGUUCUCAUGCAUGGACAGAGCUGUUCGUUCCCUUUUAGUGCAAUAUUCAUCUCCCUCUUCUGAAAACAUUAGGCGCUCUCAUUAAUUCGAUCAAGAAAGAGUCCAAAAGAUUUUAAUAUCUCUGAAGGAAUCACCAAGGGUGAUUUGAUUUUAAAAAAAAAACGGCUAGCUCAUGUGGAAUUCCCGCCCAACAAAAACCCUAGCUCGUCAGUAUAAAUGCUAGCUUUUCCAGUCACUUUCGGGGAUUUUUUUUUCGGACAUACUGAAAUUCUUAGUUGAGAGUUUUUACUUAGCCCUGUUUAAUUAGGGAUUCAACUUCAGGUAGAAUUUCCACCUAGUCUAAUUUGGUUUCUUUCAGUUUUAAAUUCUCUUCUUUUUUUUCGUUGUGGUCGAGUGUGUCGAGGGUCUUGGAAGGGAUUCUCAAUUCCAUUCUCGACAAGGUUUCCACUCGAGAAGAUUCGAGCAUCGUUCGCGUUCGAGCGUAGAUCGGAGAUUCAAAGCCCCACUUCACUGCCUCUGAAAAAGCAAAUGGAGUCUUAAUUCGGGAACUCACUCACCGAAAAAGUCUCAAAAUGAGAUUCGGCAUCAUUACUAUACCCGAGCAUGGAGUCAACAUAUUCCACAUUUCUUCAACCAUAUCGGACAAGCAAAGCUCGCUUGGGGCGAUCUCUCUUUCAUUUUGGCAUUCAUUCUGUUUGGUUUCCUUUUGAUUUUUCCGUGUUUUAUGUGAUUUGCGUUAGGACCUAUGUUUAACGUAGGAUUUGAUGAAGUUCUUUACUGGUUUCAGGAUUCCUAUUCUAGACUAAUAAUUUAACCAUUUGUUUUGCCAUGAAAGGACACAGUUAGCUAACCUAGAAAUCUUUUAAAA
This is a long non-coding RNA of Lycium barbarum (goji berry), 1059 nucleotides long. RefSeq lists it as uncharacterized. The transcript is spliced from 2 exons. The record is from RefSeq and is a predicted model, not a curated record. NCBI's taxonomy places the organism in Eukaryota, Viridiplantae, Streptophyta, Magnoliopsida, Solanales, Solanaceae.